RNAcentral lists this ribosomal RNA (897 nucleotides) under uncultured bacterium. RNAcentral describes it as "bacterial SSU rRNA". It matches the Rfam family "Bacterial small subunit ribosomal RNA", at positions 27 to 901 of the family's 1533-position model. The record is from RNAcentral.
GAACGAACGCUGGCGGCGUGCCUAACACAUGCAAGUCGAGCGAGAAAGCCCGCAAGGGUGAGUAAAGCGGCGCACGGGUGCGUAACACGUGGGUAAUCUGCCCUAGAGUCCGGAAUAACUCGCCGAAAGGCGUGCUAAUGCCGGAUGAGACCACGGGAGCUUCGGCUCCUGCGGGAAAAGGUGGCCUCUGUAUACAAGCUAUCGCUCUAGGAUGAGCCCGCGGCCCAUCAGCUCGUUGGCGGGGUAAUGGCCCACCAAGGCUACGACGGGUAGCUGGUCUGAGAGGACGAUCAGCCACACUGGAACUGAGACACGGUCCAGACUCCUACGGGAGGCAGCAGUGGGGAAUCUUGCGCAAUGGGCGAAAGCCUGACGCAGCAACGCCGCGUGUGUGAUGAAGGUCUUCGGAUCGUAAAGCACUGUCGCGAGGGACGAAUAAGGGGCGGGCUAACAUCCCGUUCCGAUGACGGUACCUCGAGAGGAAGCACCGGCUAACUCUGUGCCAGCAGCCGCGGUAAUACAGAGGGUGCAAGCGUUGUUCGGAAUUAUUGGGCGUAAAGCGCGUGUAGGCGGCCUUGCAAGUUGGGUGUGAAAGCCCUCGGCUUAACCGAGGAAGUGCGCCCAAAACUACGAGGCUUGAGUGCCGGAGAGGGUGGCGGAAUUCCCGGUGUAGAGGUGAAAUUCGUAGAUAUCGGGAGGAACACCAGUGGCGAAGGCGGCCACCUGGACGGUAACUGACGCUGAGACGCGAAAGCGUGGGGAGCAAACAGGAUUAGAUACCCUGGUAGUCCACGCUGUAAACGAUGAGCGCUAGGUGUUGUGGGUGUUGACCCCCGCAGUGCCGCAGCUAACGCAUUAAGCGCUCCGCCUGGGAAGUACGGCCCGCAGGCUAAAACU